CCAACUUCGGGAGGGGUGUAUUUAUUAGAUAAAAAACCAACGCCCUUUCGGGGCUUCUUGGUGAUUCAUGAUAACUUUACGGAUCGCAUGGCCUUGCGCCGGCGACGGUUCAUUCAAAUUUCUGCCCUAUCAACUUUCGAUGGUAAGGUAUUGGCUUACCAUGGUUUCAACGGGUAACGGGGAAUUAGGGUUCGAUUCCGGAGAGGGAGCCUGAGAAACGGCUACCACAUCCAAGGAAGGCAGCAGGCGCGCAAAUUACCCAAUCCCGACACGGGGAGGUAGUGACAAUAAAUACUGAUACAGGGCUCUUUUGGGUCUUGUAAUUGGAAUGAGUACAAUUUAAACCUCUUAACGAGGAACAAUUGGAGGGCAAGUCUGGUGCCAGCAGCCGCGGUAAUUCCAGCUCCAAUAGCGUAUAUUAAAGUUGUUGCAGUUAAAAAGCUCGUAGUUGAAACUUGGGUCUGGCUGGCAGGUCCGCCUCACCGCGUGUACUUGUCCGGCCGGGCCUUCCUUCUGGAGAACCUCAUGCCCUUCACUGGGCGUGUUGGGGACCAGGACUUUUACUUUGAAAAAAUUAGAGUGUUCAAAGCAGGCCUUUGCUCGAAUACGUUAGCAUGGAAUAAUAGAAUAGGACGUGCGGUCCUAUUUUGUUGGUUUCUAGGACCGCCGUAAUGAUUAAUAGGGACAGUCGGGGGCAUCAGUAUUCAAUUGUCAGAGGUGAAAUUCUUGGAUUUAUUGAAGACUAACUACUGCGAAAGCAUUUGCCAAGGAUGUUUUCAUUAAUCAGUGAACGAAAGUUAGGGGAUCGAAGACGAUCAGAUACCGUCGUAGUCUUAACCGUAAACUAUGCCGACUAGGGAUCGGGCGAUGUUCUUUUUCUGACUCGCUCGGCACCUUACGAGAAAUCAAAGUUUUUGGGU
RNAcentral lists this ribosomal RNA (920 nucleotides) under Camarosporidiella arborescentis. Its description in RNAcentral is "SSU rRNA". It matches the Rfam family "Eukaryotic small subunit ribosomal RNA", at positions 183 to 1112 of the family's 1831-position model. Lineage: Eukaryota; Fungi; Ascomycota; Dothideomycetes; Pleosporales. The record is from RNAcentral.